Molecule: long non-coding RNA, 871 nt
Organism: Arachis ipaensis
Lineage: Eukaryota; Viridiplantae; Streptophyta; Magnoliopsida; Fabales; Fabaceae
Source: RefSeq, a predicted model, not a curated record
CUUCCCUCUAUUUAAGCGCUAGCUUGAUGAGCCUCUUCUCUUCAUACAUACAUACAUUGAAACAAAAUAUCCAAAGAGUAGUUAUAUAUUUCGCUCUGUGUAUCAAAAAUCCAAAAUGAAGAAGCUUCUGGUAGUUGCACUCCUGUUGAUGGUGGCAAGCUCUUCUCUAGCCACCAUGGCGGCGAGAAAGUUAGAGGCGGAAGAAAUGCAUGGCAACCCGCAGGAGGAGGAGAAUGAACAACUGAGCGACGAGAAUGAUAAUGAUCACCACCGUAUUCCUCGAAAGGAAUAUGGUAGACCGGGCACCGGCUAUGUUGUCACGGAUGAUAGUGAUCACCACCGUAUUCCUCGUAGGGACUACGGCGGCACACAUCCUGGCCAACCGUGAAGAAACCGUUACUACUGUACUUGUGUGAUGCAUGCUUAUAAUAUUCCAUAAAAAUAAGAUAUAUAAGAUAAAAAUUUAAGUACAGUUAUUUUCAUGUAAAUUUGGUAAUUGAGAGUUAUUAGAUGAUAAUUUAAUCAAAUUUGACAAAUUAUUUAACGAUUCUCAACUAUCAACUUUACAUGAACUUAACUACAAGUAAGUUUUUACUAAUAGAUAUAUAUUAUCCACAUCAUGGUAGUAUAGCAGCAUACUAGCAUGCAUGUAUAUAUAUUCGCAUGCAAUUAUGUAUCUUGGUUUGAAAGUUAUGCCUAAGGAUACCCAAAUUCAUUACAAAUAGAGAAAUGUUAUCUGUAUGAUUUUUGUGUACACUUCUCUUGUAUAUUUAAAGUGUUAAUUGUGUCUUAUGAUUAAUCAUGCAUGUAUAUAUUAUAUUAACAUAAUAACAUGUGUAUUGCCUUUGAUCAAUGUAAAUUUAUGUUUCUA